RNAcentral lists this ribosomal RNA (464 nucleotides) under Vreelandella stevensii. RNAcentral's name for it is "partial 16S ribosomal RNA". It matches the Rfam family "Bacterial small subunit ribosomal RNA", at positions 338 to 795 of the family's 1533-position model. Lineage: Bacteria; Pseudomonadati; Pseudomonadota; Gammaproteobacteria; Oceanospirillales; Halomonadaceae. The record is from RNAcentral.
CCUACGUGUGGCUGCAGUGGGGAAUAUUGGACAAUGGGCGAAAGCCUGAUCCAGCCAUGCCGCGUGUGUGAAGAAGGCCUUCGGGUUGUAAAGCACUUUCAGUGGGGAAGAAAGCCUUGGGGCUAAUACCCUCGAGGAAGGACAUCACCCACAGAAGAAGCACCGGCUAACUCCGUGCCAGCAGCCGCGGUAAUACGGAGGGUGCGAGCGUUAAUCGGAAUUACUGGGCGUAAAGCGCGCGUAGGCGGUCUGAUAAGCCGGUUGUGAAAGCCCCGGGCUCAACCUGGGAACGGCAUCCGGAACUGUCAGGCUAGAGUGCAGGAGAGGAAGGUAGAAUUCCCGGUGUAGCGGUGAAAUGCGUAGAGAUCGGGAGGAAUACCAGUGGCGAAGGCGGCCUUCUGGACUGACACUGACGCUGAGGUGCGAAAGCGUGGGUAGCAAACAGGAUUAGAUACCCCUGUGUC